Molecule: ribosomal RNA, 265 nt
Filed under: uncultured bacterium
Lineage: Bacteria
Description: partial 16S ribosomal RNA
Rfam family: Bacterial small subunit ribosomal RNA
Source: RNAcentral
CCGGCGACCGGCGCACGGGUGAGUAACACGUAUGCAACCUGCCCUCUCCAGGGGGACAACCUUCCGAAAGGGAGGCUAAUCCCGCGUAUAUCGGUUUCGGGCAUCCGAGAUCGAGGAAAGAUUCAUCGGAAGAGGAUGGGCAUGCGGCGCAUUAGCUAGACGGCGGGGUAACGGCCCACCGUGGCGACGAUGCGUAGGGGUUCUGAGAGGAAGGCCCCCCACACUGGUACUGAGACACGGACCAGACUCCUACGGGAGGCAGCAG